GACAGAGGAGGCAAGCGUUGUUCGGAAUCACUGGGCUUAAAGCGGGUGUAGGCGGCCCGGCAAGCGUCGUGUGAAAGCCCACGGCUCAACCGUGGAACUGCACGGCGAACUGCCGGGCUUGAGGUCGGUAGAGGUGCCUGGAACUCUAGGUGGAGCGGUGAAAUGCGUAGAUAUCUAGAGGAACGCCAGCGGCGAAAGCGGGGCACUGGGCCGAUUCUGACGCUGAGACCCGAAAGCGUGGGGAGCAAACAGGAUUAGAUACCCCCGUA
This 269-nucleotide ribosomal RNA is filed under the name uncultured prokaryote. RNAcentral's name for it is "partial 16S ribosomal RNA". It matches the Rfam family "Bacterial small subunit ribosomal RNA", at positions 524 to 792 of the family's 1533-position model. The record is from RNAcentral.